Non-coding RNA from Erinaceus europaeus (western European hedgehog), 102 nucleotides. NCBI's taxonomy places the organism in Eukaryota, Metazoa, Chordata, Mammalia, Eulipotyphla, Erinaceidae. The record is from Rfam.
GUGCUUGUUUGGGCAGCACGUUGUCUACUAAAACUGGAAGGAUACAGAGAAGAUCAGCAUGGCCCCUGUCCAAGGCAAAUUCAUGAAGCGUUCCAUAUUUUU